This 253-nucleotide ribosomal RNA is filed under the name uncultured bacterium. RNAcentral describes it as "partial 16S ribosomal RNA". It matches the Rfam family "Bacterial small subunit ribosomal RNA", at positions 524 to 776 of the family's 1533-position model. The record is from RNAcentral.
UACGUAGGGACCAAGCGUUGUCCGGAAUCAUUGGGCGUAAAGAGCGUGUAGGCGGCUUGUUAAGUCUUGCGUGAAAUCUCGGGGCUCAACCCCGAGCGGUCGUGAGAAACUGGCAGGCUAGAGUGCGGGAGAGGAGAGUGGAAUUCCUGGUGUAGCGGUGAAAUGCGCAGAUAUCAGGAAGGACACCCGUGGCGAAGGCGGCUCUCUGGAACGCAACUGACGCUGAGACGCGAAAGCGUGGGGAGCAAACAGG